This 238-nucleotide ribosomal RNA is filed under the name uncultured Paracoccaceae bacterium. RNAcentral's name for it is "uncultured Rhodobacteraceae bacterium partial 16S ribosomal RNA". It matches the Rfam family "Bacterial small subunit ribosomal RNA", at positions 84 to 339 of the family's 1533-position model. Lineage: Bacteria; Pseudomonadati; Pseudomonadota; Alphaproteobacteria; Rhodobacterales; Paracoccaceae. The record is from RNAcentral.
CUUCGGGUCUAGCGGCGGACGGGUUAGUAACGCGUGGGAAUAUACCCUUCACUACGGAAUAGCCUCGGGAAACUGGGAGUAAUACCGUAUACGCCCUUUGGGGGAAAGAUUUAUCGGUGAAGGAUUAGCCCGCGUCUGAUUAGAUAGUUGGUGGGGUAAUGGCCUACCAAGUCUACGAUCAGUAGCUGGUUUGAGAGGAUGAUCAGCAACACUGGGACUGAGACACGGCCCAGACUCC